RNAcentral lists this ribosomal RNA (806 nucleotides) under uncultured Pseudomonadota bacterium. RNAcentral describes it as "bacterial SSU rRNA". It matches the Rfam family "Bacterial small subunit ribosomal RNA", at positions 73 to 902 of the family's 1533-position model. The record is from RNAcentral. Lineage: Bacteria; Pseudomonadati; Pseudomonadota.
UUCUCUUUCGGGAGGAGGGAGUGGCGGACGGGUGAGUAACACGUGGGUAACCUACCCUCAGGUGAGGAAUACCGGCGAGAAAUCGCCGACAACACCGCAUACGCUUCGCUCACGCGAAGCAACGUCCCGCAAGGGAUGCCUGGGGAUGGGCCUGCGGCCGAUUAGCUAGUUGGUGAGGUAAUGGCCCACCAAGGCGACGAUCGGUAGCUGGUCUGAGAGGAUGAUCAGCCACACUGGGAUUGAGAACGGCCCAGACUCCUACGGGGGGCAGCAGUGAGGAAUUUUCGGCAAUGGGGGCAACCCUGACCGAGCAACGCCGCGUGCAGGAGGACGGCCUUCGGGUUGUAAACUGCUUUUCUGAGGGACGAGCAAGGACGGUACCUCAGGAAGAAGCCCCGGCUAACUACGUGCCAGCAGCCGCGGUAAUACGUAGGGGGCGAGCGUUGUCCGGAGUUACUGGGCGUAAAGCGCACGCAGGCGGUCCUCUGCGUAGAGGGUGACAGUCCUCGGCUUAACUGAGGAAGCGCUCUUUAAACGGGGGGACUUGAGGGCCAGAGAGGGAGACGGAACUCCGAGUGGAGCGGUGAAAUGCGUAGAGAUCCGGAAGAACACCGAAGGCGAAGGCAGUCUCCUGGCUGGUUCCUGACGCUCAGGUGCGAAAGCUAGGGGAGCAAACAGGAUUAGAUACCCUGGUAGUCCUAGCUGUAAACGAUGACCACUAGGCGUGUGGGGGCUCGACCCUCUGCGUGCCUCAGUUAACACAAUAAGUGGUCCGCCUGGGGAGUACGGUCGCAAGAUUAAAACUC